GCCCGAGCCUUCCUGUGGAACUCCCCGAAGAACUUGGUCCCUCAUUUGGGAACAGCAACAAUCAAGAAGACCUGCCAAUGUCAGAACUGGAAGAGUACCAGAUUCCCAGAUUUAGUUCCAACAGUCAAGAGUCAAGGACUAUUCUAAGCUCUGAAGAUGCUGUAUUGGAAGCCUUUCCCCAUCCACCAGCAGAAUAUGAGGAAAUAGUCUGCAAAAUGUAACUGCUUCUCCAGCUGCUAAUUGCACAAAAGCAGAUGGGGUCUUUGCGGAUGAUUAAGUUCAGAUGAGGUCAUGGGGGUAGGCCCUAAUCCAAUACGAUUGUGUCCUUAUGAAAAGGGAAAAUUGGACACAGAGACAGACAUGAAGUUGGAGAGAGCACCAUGUAAAGAUGAAGGCAGGAAUCGGGACAAUUUUCAAGCCAAGAAACACCCAAGAUUGCCAGGAAACCAGCAGAAGCUAGAAGGAAGACAUGGAACAGAAUCUCCUUCACAGUCUUCAGAAGGAGCCACCCCUGCCAACAUCUGGAUGAUCUUGGACUUCAAGCUUCCAGAGCUGUUCAAGCCUCCGAACAAUACAUUUCUGUUGAUUAAGCCAUGUAGUUUGUGGCACUUUAUUAUAGUAGCCCUAAGAAAUG
Long non-coding RNA from Homo sapiens (human), 634 nucleotides. RefSeq lists it as uncharacterized. Lineage: Eukaryota; Metazoa; Chordata; Mammalia; Primates; Hominidae. The transcript has 3 exons. The record is from RefSeq and is a predicted model, not a curated record.